AUAUAUAUUAUUAUUGUGAUAUAUAUUUAUUGGCUAUUUAAUGUUAAUACCUAUAACUAGGGCUAUUUUCUAGCAAUUAUAUGAGUAUGUUGUUAUACCAUGCCUAGAUCGCAAAGAAAAAAAACCUAGACCUAGAAACAAGAGGAGAGCCAUUUUUCAUCAUCUUGACCCCAUCCUAAUUCUCUGAAAAAGCUUCAGUACACAAUACACAAAAGGAUUAGCAUCCACACUCCAUCUUCCUCCCAUAUACAGAGAAACGACAUAAAUAAGAGGGAACGAAAAAUGGAGUUGCUUUCCUCUUUUUCUCCCUAAGUACACUCCAUCUUCUUCAACCAAAAAACCUCUAUUAAACCCCCACCAAAAUGCAGCUCCAAAACAGCCUUCUUCCUCAAUGAAAAAUAUCUCAAAACCGGCACCAAAUCCUAGCUGCAACACCUCGAACGGCCAUCGAAACAAGCAGUUUUUCUUCUUCCAAAAACGACCUCAAACAGCCCCGAAAAUGACACAAAAAUAGUAGUUCUACGAGUCUAGUUCGAGGCCGCGUUCGAUCUUCAUUCGUUGGCUUGUAUUUGAGGUUUCCACCGAGUUUUCUGGUUUGUUGACUCGAUCUUCAUAAAUAAAAGAAGCUGAGGCUUUAUUUCUAACUUUCUUCUAUUAUUUAUUCUUUGAUUUCAUAAUUAAUAUGUUUCAGUUAGGUACUAUAAUUUUUUAAAUGUUCCUGUGAACUAUUCUAAUUGUUUGGUAAGUACUUUGCCAUGUUUGGAUGCUUUCUGCGGAGAGGACGAGAGACAGUAGUAAAAAAGUGUUUAGUUUCUAUGCAAAGAUUAUAUAUAUUGUUUGGUGUCUAGUGUUGUCUUAUGAUAGAAUAAUGAUUUAU
This 877-nucleotide long non-coding RNA is filed under the name Nicotiana benthamiana. Its description in RNAcentral is "long non-coding RNA (NBEN_LNC013653)". Lineage: Eukaryota; Viridiplantae; Streptophyta; Magnoliopsida; Solanales; Solanaceae. The record is from RNAcentral.